Molecule: non-coding RNA, 2344 nt
Organism: Dermacentor albipictus
Lineage: Eukaryota; Metazoa; Arthropoda; Arachnida; Ixodida; Ixodidae
Source: RefSeq, a predicted model, not a curated record
ACACGCCCCCAGAGUCACUUUAAUGGACAAGUGGCGCCAUCCCACGCCAAGUGAACAAAACGCUGCCGGAGAAGCGCAGGAAAAAUGGAUGCGACUGUCUUCUACGGAGCGAACUGUAAGUGCUUCUUGCUUUCUUUUAUUUUUUACUCUUAAGAGCGUACGCUGAGGGACGCAUUGACAUUUAUUUAUUAUAAUAAGGUCCCAGGAAUGCGAUAUAACCGUUGUCAUUCUUAUCGUCAACAUAUUCAGCCUUGCAUGUGCUUCCGAAUAUUGGCGUCCUCCCCCGGGGACAUGGCGCCUCAAACCCGCCUUUGCGAACACGCUCCUUUUCUCAGUGCGCGGCGUCGCUUCCUCAUUGACAUGAAGAAAACGUCUCAUUUUUCCAGGUAUUUCCAAGCAUGGUUUGGAAAGAAAGAAGCUGGAUGAUGACACAGCUGAAAAAAUAUUUCGAAGAAUUGAAAACGGCGAUAUUUCUGACGCAGAUCUCUCUGAUGACGAGCACAGCGAGCAAGAGACACGGCAUACGACUUCUGCUACAGAUAGUACUGUGCAGCGUGCAGGAGCAUCGCCUGGAGCACCUUGCACGCAGGACAAGCAAGUGCCAGAUGCAUCAUCGAAGAAGAUGAAUGCGUUGAAUUGGGUGGCCCAAGCUUUUCAGCCUAAGAACACCGAUUGCACCUACAAGCCUCAAGGUGGAUCAGUACCUGAAGAGCCCAUGGCAUACUUCACUCGGUAUUUUUCACCCACGCUUUUUAGUGAUCUAGCAACAUUCACUAACAUGUACGUGCUCCAGACAGAUGGAAAUGUGCUAGGAACUUCUGCAGAAGAAAUCAAAGUUUUUUGUGGAAUUCUCAUGCUGAUGGGAAUUCUAAAAUUCCCGAGAAUUCGCAUGUAUUGGCAAGCCUCGACAAGAAUUCCAGCAAUAGCGGAAUCUAUGACGGCAAAGCGAUUUUUUAGAAUUAGAGCCGCACUGCACAUUACGGACUCAAACGCUCCUCGUGACCCAGCCAGCCAGGACAAGUUCUGGAAAGUGCGCCCUGUCAUAGAAGCCAUCAGGUCACGAUGCUUGCAGCUGGAACCCUUGGAGCACAAUAGUAUAGAUGAGCAAAUGAUUCCUUUCACAGGCCGUGUCCCUGCAAAACAGUUUGUGAAGGGAAAGCCAAAUCCAGAAGGGGUGAAGGUGUUCCUCCGCUGCAGCGCCGAUGGCUUAGCUCGUGACCUUGAGCUGUACCAGGGUAAGGGAACAGGAGUCAGUGCGCAACAUGCACAUCUCGGACUUGGCGGGUCAGUCGUCAUGCGUCUUGUCGAGGCAAUGCCUAAGGGAAAGAACCUGAAGUGCUUCAUGGACAACUAUUUCACCUCAGUGCCACUCAUCCUGCAGCUGAAGGAAAUGGGCAUUCUUGCCAGCGGUACGAUACGAGCCAACCGCCUGCUGAAGUGCUGCUUAAAAAGCGAGAAAGAACUGAAGAAAGAAGGUCGGGGAAGCAUGGAUGAGAAGGUUUCCACGAAAGGAGACAUUGCUAUUGUGAGAUGGCAAGAUAACGGAGUCGUAAACAUGGCAUCCACACAAAUUGGAAUUGGUAAUGUUGGAAAAGUGAAACGAUGGAGCGAGGCAACAAAGCAGCAUAUAGAAAUUGACUGCCCAGAAGUGAUUUUAAAGUACAACUUGUACAUGGGAGGGGUCGAUAAACUCGACUUCCUAAUGUCGCUGUACCCCCUUACGGCAAGAACCAGAAAGUGGCCAGUGAGGGCCAUGUCUCACUUUCUGUCUUUUGCGUUGUGCAACAGCUGGAUAGAAUACCUGAGAGACGCAAGUGCCGAGAACCUUGCACAGAAAAGUACUUUGGACAUGAUGGCCUUCCAAACAGACAUUGCUAACAGCCUAAUCGCAUGCAGCAGAGCUCCUCCAAAAAAGCGUGGUCGGCCAAGCACUGAAUACCCCGAGCCUGUUGCGAAGAAGGCAAGACCGCAUUUGCUACCGACCGUAACCAUCAGGUAUGAUGGCUACAAUCACUGGCCGGAGUAUGUCAGCACACCGAACUCGCAACGCUGUCGCCGUGAGGGAUGCAAAGCGAAGUGCCGGAUUCGCUGUCAAAAAUGUCACGUGUUUUUGUGCGUGUCGGCACAGAACAAUUGUUUUUACCUUUUUCACGCCAAGUAGGCUUUGCUUUAAUUUACCAAUCAAAUCAUAAUCCAUUAUUGGCAUUCUGUUCCAAAUAUCUUGCUAAGAACACUACCGUACGUUCUGUUAUUGCUGUGCUUUAUUUUUUCUGUAUUGAGGCGCCCUGUCCCCGAACGGGGACAGCGCAAUAUACAAUGAAAGAAUAAAAUUUUUGUUGUAGUU